RNAcentral lists this non-coding RNA (21 nucleotides) under Arabidopsis thaliana (thale cress). The record is from RNAcentral. Lineage: Eukaryota; Viridiplantae; Streptophyta; Magnoliopsida; Brassicales; Brassicaceae.
UGGUGGUUGCUGGUAGUUCCC